GAUGAACGCUGGCGGCGUGCCUAAUACAUGCAAGUCGAGCGAACAGACGAGGAGCUUGCUCCUCUGACGUUAGCGGCGGACGGGUGAGUAACACGUGGAUAACCUACCUAUAAGACUGGGAUAACUUCGGGAAACCGGAGCUAAUACCGGAUAAUAUAUUGAACCGCAUGGUUCAAUAGUGAAAGACGGUUUUGCUGUCACUUAUAGAUGGAUCCGCGCCGCAUUAGCUAGUUGGUAAGGUAACGGCUUACCAAGGCAACGAUGCGUAGCCGACCUGAGAGGGUGAUCGGCCACACUGGAACUGAGCCCCGGUCCAGACUCCUACGGGAGGCAGCAGUAGGGAAUCUGCCGCAAUGGGCGAAAGCCUGACGGAGCAACGCCGCGUGAGUGAUGAAGGUCUUCGGUUCGUAAAACUCUGUUAUUAGGGAAGAACAAAUGUGUAAGUAACUAUGCUCGUCUUGACGGUACCUAAGCAGAAAGCCACGGCUACCUACGU
Molecule: ribosomal RNA, 496 nt
Filed under: uncultured bacterium
Lineage: Bacteria
Description: partial 16S ribosomal RNA
Rfam family: Bacterial small subunit ribosomal RNA
Source: RNAcentral